GAUGAAGAACGUAGCGACAUGCGAUAAGUAAUGUGAAUUGCAGAAUUCAGUGAAUCAUCGAAUCUUUGAACGCACAUUGCGCCCGCCAGUAUUCUGGCGGGCAUGCCUGUUCGAGCGUCAUUUCAACCAUCAAGCCCUGCUUGCGUUGGGGUCCUGCGGCUGCCCGCAGGCCCUGAAAACCAGUGGCGGGCUCGCUAGUCACACCGAGCGCAGUAAUACAUCUCGCUUUGGGCGUGCGGCGGGUUCUUGCCGUUAAACACCCCCUUUUUACCAAGGUUGACCUCGGAUCAGGUAGGAAUACCCGCUGAACUUAAGCAUAUCAAUAAGCGGAGGA
Molecule: unclassified non-coding RNA, 334 nt
Filed under: soil metagenome
Description: partial contains 5.8S ribosomal RNA, internal transcribed spacer 2, and large subunit ribosomal RNA
Rfam family: 5.8S ribosomal RNA (bases 1-120)
Source: RNAcentral